This 253-nucleotide ribosomal RNA is filed under the name uncultured bacterium. RNAcentral describes it as "partial 16S ribosomal RNA". It matches the Rfam family "Bacterial small subunit ribosomal RNA", at positions 524 to 776 of the family's 1533-position model. The record is from RNAcentral.
UACGGAGGGUGCAAGCGUUAUCCGGAUUCACUGGGUUUAAAGGGAGCGUAGGAGGGCAGGUAAGUCAGUGGUGAAAUCUUCGAGCUUAACUCGGAAACUGCCGUUGAUACUAUCUGUCUUGAAUACCGUGGAGAUGAGCGGAAUAUGUCAUGUAGCGGUGAAAUGCUUAGAUAUGACAUAGAACACCAAUUGCGAAGGCAGCUCGUUACACGAAUAUUGACUCUGAUGCUCGAAAGCGUGGGGAUCAAACAGG